Molecule: ribosomal RNA, 253 nt
Filed under: uncultured bacterium
Lineage: Bacteria
Description: partial 16S ribosomal RNA
Rfam family: Bacterial small subunit ribosomal RNA
Source: RNAcentral
UACAGAGGGUGCAAGCGUUGUUCGGAAUCAUUGGGCGUAAAGGGCGUGUAGGCGGUCUGUUAAGUCAUGUGUGAAAUCCCUCGGCUCAACCGGGGAACGACGCAUGAAACUGACAAGCUAGAGUACCAGAGAGGGGGGUGGAAUUCCCGGUGUAGCGGUGUAAUGCGUAGAUAUCGGGAGGAACACCGGUGGCGAAGGCGGCCCCCUGGUUGGAUACUGACGCUGAGACGCGAAAGCGUGGGGAGCAAACAGG